UUCCUAUAUUUUGAGAAGAAAGCGACACCGUACGAUUCAGCGUAUAAAGAAAUUGUACUUACGGAUGUCAAGUGUAUUACUGAACACCAGUAUUCUAGCGAUUUAUGGCCUUUGAAAAUCAAGCGAAAUUGUAUUGACAAAUCGCUCGCAGUAUGUAUUAAGGGUCAUUCCAUUUAUUAUCCGCACCCCCCCCUAUGGAUGAGCUCUGGUAAAAAUGUUACCUGUAGGAAUCGGAUUUCAGAGAAGUACCCUGUUGGAAUCGACAGUAACCUGAAGUUCAGGCCCUAAUCACAGAAUAGGGCCUGACACAAAACCUAUCUAAAGUGUGAGAUUCCCGUCCACCUGGUGGACGGGAAAUCUGAUUGGUUGAUCAGCAUCAUGAAGGAUUUUGAUUGGUUGCAAGUUUACAUAAACAACAGUUUUAAAAAUAGCUCGGUCAAGGCGACAAUUAAUAUAAAGGUCAAACGCACGUACAAAUUCCAUUAUCGAUUUCUUCGAAUUUCUUU
Paramuricea clavata is the source of this 506-nucleotide non-coding RNA. The record is from the annotation of a GenBank genome assembly. Lineage: Eukaryota; Metazoa; Cnidaria; Anthozoa; Malacalcyonacea; Plexauridae.